AACCAAAGGGUCACUGGUUCAAUUCCCAGUCAGGGCACAUGCCUGGGUUGCAAGCCAGGUACCUAGUAAGGGGCAUGGGGAAGGCAACAACACAUUGUCAAUUCUCUCCCUCUCUUUUUCCUCCCUUCCUCCCUCUAAAAAUAAAUGAAUAAAACCUUUAGGAAAAAAAAG
Phyllostomus discolor (pale spear-nosed bat) is the source of this 171-nucleotide long non-coding RNA. RefSeq lists it as uncharacterized. NCBI's taxonomy places the organism in Eukaryota, Metazoa, Chordata, Mammalia, Chiroptera, Phyllostomidae. The record is from RefSeq and is a predicted model, not a curated record. The transcript is spliced from 2 exons.